This 253-nucleotide ribosomal RNA is filed under the name uncultured bacterium. RNAcentral's name for it is "partial 16S ribosomal RNA". It matches the Rfam family "Bacterial small subunit ribosomal RNA", at positions 524 to 776 of the family's 1533-position model. The record is from RNAcentral.
UACGGGGGGGGCAAGCGUUGUUCGGAAUUACUGGGCGUAAAGGGCUCGUAGGCGGCCAACUAAGUCAGACGUGAAAUCCCUCGGCUUAACCGGGGAACUGCGUCUGAUACUGGAUGGCUUGAGGUUGGGAGAGGGAUGCGGAAUUCCAGGUGUAGCGGUGAAAUGCGUAGAUAUCUGGAGGAACACCGGUGGCGAAGGCGGCUUCCUGGCCUACUACUGACGCUGUGGCGCGAAAGCUGGGGGAGCGAACGGG